AAGAUCAUACUUCACAGGAUCAUUUCUGUAGUGUAUCUUCACAGACUCUCUACCCAAAGUAGGAGUCGAUGCAGCCACGAGGAUGAGACGUGGCUGCCCAUUCUGAGCGUGAGGCUGGCGGCCUCGAGCCUCUCAUUGCGGAGGCUCGGCCUGCCAACGAUGAUCGUUCACCUCCGGGUUUCAUACCCGGGGGGAUGGAUGGGUAGCUGUCUGAGUGGU
RNAcentral lists this small nucleolar RNA (219 nucleotides) under Trichogramma pretiosum. RNAcentral's name for it is "small nucleolar RNA U3". It matches the Rfam family "Small nucleolar RNA U3". From Rfam's summary of the family: Small nucleolar RNAs (snoRNAs) are involved in the processing and modification of rRNA in the nucleolus. There are two main classes of snoRNAs: the box C/D class, and the box H/ACA class. U3 snoRNA is a member of the box C/D class. The record is from RNAcentral. Lineage: Eukaryota; Metazoa; Arthropoda; Insecta; Hymenoptera; Trichogrammatidae.